This 345-nucleotide ribosomal RNA is filed under the name uncultured Proteiniphilum sp. Its description in RNAcentral is "bacterial SSU rRNA". It matches the Rfam family "Bacterial small subunit ribosomal RNA", at positions 1035 to 1382 of the family's 1533-position model. Lineage: Bacteria; Pseudomonadati; Bacteroidota; Bacteroidia; Bacteroidales; Dysgonomonadaceae. The record is from RNAcentral.
UAGGUGCUGCAUGGUUGUCGUCAGCUCGUGCCGUGAGGUGUCGGCUUAAGUGCCAUAACGAGCGCAACCUCAUCAUUAGUUACCAUCAGGUAAGGCUGGGGACUCUAAUGAGACUGCCAUCGUAAGAUGUGAGGAAGGUGGGAUGACGUCAAAUCAGCACGGCCCUUACGUCCGGGCGACACACGUGUUACAAUGGGUGGUACAAAGGGCAGCUACCUGGCGACAGGAUGCUAAUCUCGAAAACCGCUCUCAGUUCGGAUCGGAGUCUGCAACUCGACUCCGUGAAGCUGGAUUCGCUAGUAAUCGCGCAUCAGCCACGGCGCGGUGAAUACGUUCCCGGGCCUU